CCAUAAACGGCGCCAUUCAGUCCUUCUCCCUUGCCCUUUGCCUCCUCUGUCGUUUUCUCUGCCGUCACCUUCGCCUUCAAGCCCAAAUCAUGUGGAAGAGAGGAGGAGGAGGAGGAGAGGAGUCUGUACCGAGAGAGGAAGACGAGAAUUUUGCAACGUGACCUGCACGACUGACGUCACAUUUUGGAUACUAUCGCUUCACAACAACAGCAAGAAAAAAGAAACGAGGAGAUGUUGGCGUACUUGGAGCGAGGAACUGUGUGCAGCAGCCAUCUCUGCCGUACGGCAGCUGCGGCGUUGGAGGGCGAUAGCCAGGGCCACGGCGCAUCACCAGGGCCACUUCUAACGCUUGGCAGUUGUACGCAUUCGCAUAGCCACCUUGGCGCCUUUCUCGUGCGCUCUGUACUCCGCCUUUGUUUCCCACUUUCGAUCGACUCUUUUCACUGCCUGGAGUGUAUCUAUGAAUCUAUGCGCAUGCCUUGAGCUGUGUGAGGGCACGUGAUGCACUUGGCGUGCAUGUGUGUGUAUGCAGAUGCGUCCUUGAAUGGAGCUUUCCUCACCUGCGCGGACUCCCUUUUCCCAUCCACUCUCGAAACAAAGGUCAGCAUAUGCGUGGCGCAGGGAUGCCAUUAGAGCGCAUCUCACCCUUUUCUGUGCCACAAGCGCUUGACGCCAUCGCUGCGACUCCCUCGUCCUUCCCUCCUCUCCGCUACCCCUCCUUCACACGCGGUCGCGCAG
Molecule: unclassified non-coding RNA, 738 nt
Filed under: Leishmania donovani
Lineage: Eukaryota; Euglenozoa; Kinetoplastea; Trypanosomatida; Trypanosomatidae
Description: gene:unknown
Source: RNAcentral